AGAGCGAACGCUGGCGGCAGGCUUAACACAUGCAAGUCGAACGGUCCUUCGGGAUAGUGGCGGACGGGUGAGUAACACGUGGGAACGUACCCUUAGGUUCGGAACAACACAGGGAAACUUGUGCUAAUACCGGAUAAGCCCUUCGGGGGAAAGAUUUAUCGCCUUUGGAGCGGCCCGCGUCUGAUUAGCUUGUUGGUGAGGUAAUGGCUCACCAAGGCUACGAUCAGUAGCU
This 232-nucleotide ribosomal RNA is filed under the name uncultured soil bacterium. RNAcentral describes it as "partial 16S ribosomal RNA". It matches the Rfam family "Bacterial small subunit ribosomal RNA", at positions 26 to 288 of the family's 1533-position model. The record is from RNAcentral.